Molecule: ribosomal RNA, 490 nt
Filed under: uncultured bacterium
Lineage: Bacteria
Description: partial 16S ribosomal RNA
Rfam family: Bacterial small subunit ribosomal RNA
Source: RNAcentral
AUUGAACGCUGGCGGCAGGCCUAACACAUGCAAGUCGAACGGUAACAGGAAGCAGCUUGCUGCUUUGCUGACGAGUGGCGGACGGGUGAGUAAUGUCUGGGAAACUGCCCGAUGGAGGGGGAUAACUACUGGAAACGGUAGCUAAUACCGCAUAACGUCGCAAGACCAAAGAGGGGGACCUUAGGGCCUCUUGCCAUCGGAUGUGCCCAGAUGGGAUUAGCUAGUAGGUGGGGUAACGGCUCACCUAGGCGACGAUCCCUAGCUGGUCUGAGAGGAUGACCAGCCACACUGGAACUGAGACACGGUCCAGACUCCUACGGGAGGCAGCAGUGGGGAAUAUUGCACAAUGGGCGAAAGCCUGAUGCAGCCAUGCCGCGUGUAUGAAGAAGGCCUUCGGGUUGUAAAGUACUUUCAGCGGGGAGGAAGGGAGUAAAGUUAAUACCUGUGCUCAUUGACGUUACCCGAAGAAGAAGCACCGGCUAACUCCGUG